Molecule: ribosomal RNA, 442 nt
Filed under: uncultured bacterium
Lineage: Bacteria
Description: bacterial SSU rRNA
Rfam family: Bacterial small subunit ribosomal RNA
Source: RNAcentral
CUACGGGAGGCAGCAGUGAGGAAUAUUGCCCAAUGGAGGAAACUCUGAGGCAGCGACGCCGCGUGGGUGAAGAAGGCCUUCGGGUCGUAAAGCCCUUUUCUGCGUGACGAGAAAGGGACGGUAGCGCAGGAAAAAGUCUCGGCUAACUACGUGCCAGCAGCCGCGGUAAAACGUAGGAGGCAAGCGUUAUCCGGAGUUACUGGGCGUAAAGCGCGCGCAGGCGGACGGGUAAGUGGGUUGUGAAAGCGCUCGGCUAAACCGGGCGAGGACAAAUCAGACUGCCGGUCUAGAGGCGGAUAGAGGAGCGUGGAAUUCCGGGUGUAGCGGUGAAAUGUGUAGAGAUCCGGAGGAACACCAGUGGUGCAAACGACGCUCUGGGUCCGAACUGACGCUGAGGCGCGAAAGCGUGGGGAGCGAACGGGAUUAGAAACCCUUGUAGUCC